UAGAGCACUUGCUGCCCAGCCCUGGCUACACAUAUAUCUGGGUUUGUUUUUAAAAUGGUGUUGCCUGGGCCUAAUCCCAGAGCAAUGGAAUAAGUAUCUCUGAGUCAUUCUAAUAUCCAACUGCGGGUGAGGACCACUGGUGAAGUGAACAAGAACGGACUGACAGGGCAUGAUUCCAGAUCACGAUUUCAGAACGCAUCCUGGCCAGCAGGGAGCUGCCCGAGUUAUCCUCAGGAACACCUUGGCCUCCUGAGAAUCUGCCCAACCAAAAUUCCUGGGAGCAGGGCCAGACUCACUCAGGCGAUUUCUGGUCUUGCCGGGGAAUCAGUUUUGAGCCAGAACCUAUUCCAAGUUGGGAGGUGAGUAGAACUUCGCCCAAAUAUCAACCAGCUCU
This 394-nucleotide long non-coding RNA is filed under the name Pan troglodytes (chimpanzee). Its description in RNAcentral is "long non-coding RNA NONPTRT017517". The record is from RNAcentral. Lineage: Eukaryota; Metazoa; Chordata; Mammalia; Primates; Hominidae.